Molecule: ribosomal RNA, 271 nt
Filed under: uncultured prokaryote
Description: partial 16S ribosomal RNA
Rfam family: Bacterial small subunit ribosomal RNA
Source: RNAcentral
UACGUAGGUGGCAAGCGUUGUCCGGAUUUAUUGGGCGUAAAGGGAGCGCAGGCGGUGACUUAAGUCUGAUGUGAAAGCCCACGGCUCAACCGUGGAAGGUCAUUGGAAACUGGGUCACUUGAAUAUAGAAGAGGAAAGUGGAAUUCCAUGUGUAGCGGUGAAAUGCGUAGAUAUAUGGAGGAACACCAGUGGCGAAGGCGACUUUCUGGACACAAACUGACGCUGAGGUACGAAAGCAUGGGGAGCAAACAGGAUUAGAUACCCCGGUAGU